Molecule: long non-coding RNA, 1951 nt
Filed under: Sinocyclocheilus anshuiensis
Lineage: Eukaryota; Metazoa; Chordata; Actinopteri; Cypriniformes; Cyprinidae
Description: lncRNA (ENSSANG00000040698.1)
Source: RNAcentral
UUUGUUUCUUAUCAACACAAAGGUUUUGACUUCACAAGACAUUAACUGAUGGACUGGAUUGUGAUGUUUUUAUCAGCUGUUUGGACUCUCAUUCUGACGGCACCCAUUCACUGCAGAGGAUCCACUGGUGAGCAAGUGAUGGAAUGCUACAUUCUCCAAAUCUAAUGAAGAAACAAACUCAUCUACAUCUUGGAUGGCCUGAGGGCGAGUACAUUUUCAGCAAAUUUUCAUUUUUUCAUGAACUAUUCCUUUAAAUGUAAAGCAGAUAAGUGACAAGGAUAGAUCACGUUUCAACAAACAUUCACAGACGGAUCACUGCAGUUCAGUGACCAGACAAAGCAGUCAACCGGAUAGUGUUCGUAUUCAAUUACAUGCACUUUAAAUGUUGGGAAACCCAAACCGAGGACUUUGUACAGGUUAUAUCCAGAUAAACAUUCUGUCCUUUUAGCAUUAUUUAAACUAUACCUUCAUCAGGCCAUGUAUGCAUUUUUUUUUAGUCAUUCUUACAGUUCAAAAUAUUUGAAAGGAAAGGUUAGACAAUUAUAGACAUAAGGACAGUCUGUCCUCUCCGGUGUGAACAGCACGAGAUUUGGAUUUCCUGUGUGGAGACACUGCUCUAAAGACAAGAGUGGCAUUUGGGAGGACUUGCCCAGGUCGGCUGCAAGUGAGCUGCAUUCUGAUAAGACAUCCUGCGCUGCGCCUGACGGUUGCGGAAUAUGAAUUUCAACAAGAGCAAUGGAGACCAAAAGGUUCGCAACAGUUACCUCAGUGCCUCAGGCUCCUUUUAAAGUUCCUUCUUGCCCAGCUGACCAUAAUACAAACUGUCUUGGCUGCAAUUAUGAAAAAAAACUAUGGAAGCCUGCUUCUGGAAGCCUCGUUUUUCUAACCUCAAUGGUUCAUGGAUUUGCACGUAAACAGGUUAUAAUGAGAUAUUUUUUGUCUGCCAUACAAUAUUUAAAACUGUAUGGCCUGGUUUCACAGACAGGGUUUACGUAAAGCCAGGAUUAGGCCAUAGUUCAAUUAGGACAUUUAAGUAUCUUUUAUAAACGUGCCUUAGAGAAGAACAUUACUGGUGUGCAUCUUGAGACAAAUCAAUAGUACUAUCAUAUUUUAAGAUCAAUCAGUGCAAGUUUCUUACAGUUGAAACAGAACAGACAAGCAUUUUUAGUCCGGGACUAGGCUUAAACCUUGUCUGUGAAACCGGGGGGUAUGUAUUAAUUGAUACAUAUUUUGUAUUUUUAUUUAUUUUAUUUUUUAUUUUCUGUGGCUCUUGUGGUUAUGGAAUUAUGAACUCUAUGAUAAGCUAUGUUUUUUUUUAUGUCACCUGUGGCAUGGGGCUGUGCAUGUAUGUGUCUACAAGGAGAACAACAAAAGAUUGUAAUGUUAGACUGUCAGGGUAGGCGAUUUGGUUAAAAACAUUUUUUGUUAUGCUGGUUGAAAGUCUCUAAACAUGCCGAUAGCAAUCACUAAGUUAAGUUGUCUACAUGUGUUUAUAUUGACUGUGGAAGGUGUAGGACCAUAAAAUGUUCGUCCAAUCAUAUUCCUCGGUUCUUAGGACUACGAUAGGCUGUCCUACCUGCCUUUCAAUGUGUGUAUUUGCAUACCUCUGCGCACCCUGUUCACGCAGUCCUGAAACGUCAUCAGGGCGUUCCAUUACGCUAUUGCAGACCAACUGAGAAUGGAAGGCGUUAUUGUAAUUGUAACAACGUUCGUAGUCACGGGAAGAAGGAGGCGGGAACUGGCGAACAUUUAAACAAAACUUUAAUAUAAUAAACAAACACAAAAUGAAAGUAAAGAGGCAGCCCCUUGCGGACGACUGCCGCACACAAAACACAAAAUAAAGUCCAGGCCUGGUCCUCUCUCGUCUUUCACUGUCGUCACUCCACCUUUUAUACUUCCGGAGCUCCUCCGUGGGAUUCGAGACCGGUGAGUGGUGCAGGUGUCGCUCAUU